GAGGCAUUCGUCUAGUGGUUAGGACAAGGGAUUUUCAUUCCCUAAACAGGGGUUCAAUUCCCCUAUGCCUUG
RNAcentral lists this transfer RNA (72 nucleotides) under Paludibacteraceae bacterium. Its description in RNAcentral is "tRNA-Glu". It matches the Rfam family "tRNA". Rfam says of the family: Transfer RNA (tRNA) molecules are approximately 80 nucleotides in length. Their secondary structure includes four short double-helical elements and three loops (D, anti-codon, and T loops). Lineage: Bacteria; Pseudomonadati; Bacteroidota; Bacteroidia; Bacteroidales; Paludibacteraceae. The record is from RNAcentral.